This 1029-nucleotide ribosomal RNA is filed under the name Trupanea stellata. RNAcentral's name for it is "partial 16S ribosomal RNA". The record is from RNAcentral. Lineage: Eukaryota; Metazoa; Arthropoda; Insecta; Diptera; Tephritidae.
UUGAAAAAUUUUUAUUUAAAAAGAAAAAUUAAUUAUUUGUACCUUGUGUAUCAGGGUUUAUUAAAUAAUUAAUAAAUAUAUUUAUUAAUUUCGAUUUUAUAAGAGUUAAUAAUUUAUUAAAGUUAAUGUAUCAAAAUUAUUUUUUAUAAAUUAUUAGAAAUGAAAUGUUAUUCGUUUAUAAAGAUAUCUAGUUUUUUUAGAAAUAAAUUUAAUUUAAAAAUUUUUAAUUUUAUUAAUUAAUUAUAUUAAUUAAUAAAUUUAUUAAUUUAAAUAUUUUAAGGGAUAAGCUUUAAAAUAAAUUUUUAUAAAUUAAUAAAAUAAUAAUUAAAAUUGUAUACAUAGAAUUAGUAAUUAUUAAAAAAUUUGUUAUAAAUUAUUUUAUAAAAUAUAUUAUUUAUUUUAAUUUUAAAUUUUUAUAAAAUUUUUUUUUUUAAUUUAAUUUAAAAAGUAAUAAUGAUAAAAUUAGUAUAUCUAUAUGUAAAUAUAAUUUAUUUUGAUAAGUUUAUAUAAAGAACUCGGCAAAUAUUUUACUCGCCUGUUUAACAAAAACAUGUCUUUUUGUGUUAUUUUUAAAGUCUAACCUGCCCAAUGAAUAAAAUUUUAAUGGCCGCAGUAUUUUGACUGUGCAAAGGUAGCAUAAUCAUUAGUCUUUUAAUUGAAGGCUUGAAUGAAUGGUUGGACGAAGUAUAAUCUGUUUCAUUUAAAUUUAUAAUAGAAUUUUAUAUUUUAGUAAAAAAGCUAAAAUAUUUUUAAAAGACGAGAAGACCCUAUAAAUCUUUAUAAUUUACAUAUUAUUUUUAUUUUUUGGAUUUAUUUUAUUUAAAUAAUUUAAAUUAUUUUGUUGGGGUGAUAUUAAAAUUUAAUAAACUUUUAAUUAAAUUAUUUCAUUAAUUUAUGUUUUAUUGAUCCAUUAAUAAUGAUUAAAAGAGUAAGUUACUUUAGGGAUAACAGCGUAAUUUUUUUGGAGAGUUCUUAUUGAUAAAAAAGUUUGCGACCUCGAUGUUGGAUUAAGAUAUAAUUUUAGGUGUA